CCAAUAGCGUAUAUUAAAGUUGUUGCAGUUAAAAAGCUCGUAGUUGAAUUUCGGGGUCAGUAGUUUGGUCGUGCCACUGGUAUGUACUGGGCUCACUGAUUCCUCCUUCCUGAUGAACUGUAAUGCCAUUAAUUUGGUGUUGCAGGGAAACUGGACUGUUACUUUGAAAAAAUUAGAGUGUUUAAAGCAAGCUAACGCUUGAAUACAUUAGCAUGGAAUAAUGAAAUAGGACGUUCGAUCCUAUUUUGUUGGUUUCUAGGAUUGACGUAAUGAUUAAUAGGGAUAGUUGGGGGCAUUAGUAUUCAAUUGCCAGAGGUGAAAUUCUUGGAUUUAUUGAAGACUAACUACUGCGAAAGCAUUUGCCAAGGAUGUUUUCAUUAAUCAAGAACGAAAGUUAGGGGAUCGAAGACGAUCAGAUACCGUCGUAGUCUUAACCAUAAACUAUGCCGACUAGGGAUCGGAUGAUGUUAAUUUUUUAAUGACUCAUUCGGCGCCUUACG
RNAcentral lists this ribosomal RNA (500 nucleotides) under uncultured Glomeromycotina. Its description in RNAcentral is "partial small subunit ribosomal RNA". It matches the Rfam family "Eukaryotic small subunit ribosomal RNA", at positions 591 to 1092 of the family's 1831-position model. The record is from RNAcentral. Lineage: Eukaryota; Fungi; Glomeromycota.